Molecule: ribosomal RNA, 492 nt
Filed under: uncultured bacterium
Lineage: Bacteria
Description: partial 16S ribosomal RNA
Rfam family: Bacterial small subunit ribosomal RNA
Source: RNAcentral
AGUGAACGCUGGCGGUAGGCCUAACACAUGCAAGUCGAACGGCAGCACAGUAAGCGCUUGCUCUUACGGGUGGCGAGUGGCGGACGGGUGAGGAAUCCAUCGGAAUCUACUUUUUCGUGGGGGAUAACGUAGGGAAACUUACGCUAAUACCGCAUACGACCUACGGGUGAAAGCAGGGGAUCUUCGGACCUUGCGCGAUUGAAUGAGCCGAUGUCGGAUUAGCUAGUUGGCGGGGUAAAGGCCCACCAAGGCGACGAUCCGUAGCUGGUCUGAGAGGAGGAUCAGCCACACUGGAACUGAGACACGGUCCAGACUCCUACGGGAGGCAGCAGUGGGGAAUAUUGGAGAAUGGGCGCAAGCCUGAUCCAGCCAUACCGCGUGGGUGAAGAAGGCCUUCGGGUUGUAAAGACCUUUUGUUGGGAAAGAAAAGCAGCAGGUUAAUACCCCGCUGUUCUGACGGUACCCAAAGAAUAAGCACCGGCUAACUUCGUG